RNAcentral lists this long non-coding RNA (1077 nucleotides) under Salmo trutta (river trout). RNAcentral describes it as "lncRNA (ENSSTUG00000003091.1)". Lineage: Eukaryota; Metazoa; Chordata; Actinopteri; Salmoniformes; Salmonidae. The record is from RNAcentral.
CGACAGAACAGCGAGUAGAAUGGAAAAGUAUAGACAGUAGCAUUUCCCAGCCCAUUCGUUACAAACCAAGACUGGAGUCAGCACAACGUCCAUCAUUCUUCGAGGAUAUUUUCGUAUAGUGGUCACACCAUUGACUGUAGCCUAUAUAAAGGGUCACGCAGGAGUUUUACUUGUCAACCAUGAACCAAACCGCAGGAGUAACACAGACAUACCGGAGGUGUUCUAAAGCAGGAAAGUGCCAUUUCCUGUACCAGCAAUUGGCUGUGUCAACUUCCGAAACGCAGACCUCCCAGAGAAAUGUGCUGGGCUUGCACCUGUGUCAGUCUCCCAGAUGGACCUGCUGAGAUUGUGCCGCAGGUUUUCUCCAAAUCUCUCAAAGAUCCAACCCUCGGGCGUAAUACCUGAAUAUCCAUAAUUGCUGUGGAUAUUAGCCGAUAAUUCUGUGUUUCCAUACAUUGUUGAUGAGCCACUUACACUUACAACCUUUCAGAAUAUAGAUGUAGGCUCUUAAUUUGAUCAGUCUUUUGUUGCUGAUAAUUUUUCUGCAAACAGGAAAAGCAAGCUUGUAGUAUAUUUGGGUUUUUAAAAGGCUUCUAAAGUUUGUCAUUUCCAUUUAGAAAUUUCAGACUUGAUUUGCCCAAAUAAAACAUUUAUCAACCCCUACAAAAAUGUCCAUUAAUUAUAAUCCACAUAAUAAUUCACAUUUCCUACUGCUGUAGGAUUAUUUUACUACUGUAGCAAACUGGCUCAAAUUAAGAUCCUGUAUGUGUGGUGUUCUGUGAUUUAUUUCCGUUUUGUUCUCCAGAUGUUAUUUGCCGCUGCUGUCUGUUGGUCUUUUUAUCAAUGACUUCACACUUCUGUAUUUAUACAGUGUAUGUGUCAUCAUAAGCCACUAGUCUUACCCUUGUCAAUGGUGACUUGUAAGUUACUUGAAGUUAACUGCAAUCCUUCAUAUUUUAGUUUAUAUCAGAGUAACGUCAAGGUUGUGUGAUGUAUUGGGUGACCGCGUCCCAGAUUGGGCGGGACAAUCCUGCAUUUUGUACCUUUGUCCCUUAACCAAACAAUCAAGUCCCACAU